UGGGGAAUAUUGCACAAUGGGCGAAAGCCUGAUGCAGCGACGCCGCGUGAGGGAUGACGGCCUUCGGGUUGUAAACCUCUUUCAGCAGGGAAGAAGCGAAAGUGACGGUACCUGCAGAAGAAGCGCCGGCUAACUACGUGCCAGCAGCCGCGGUAAUACGUAGGGCGCAAGCGUUGUCCGGAAUUAUUGGGCGUAAAGAGCUCGUAGGCGGUUAGUCGCGUCUGCUGUGAAAACUCGAGGCUCAACCUCGGGCUUGCAGUGGGUACGGGCUGACUAGAGUGCGGUAGGGGUGACUGGAAUUCCUGGUGUAGCGGUGGAAUGCGCAGAUAUCAGGAGGAACACCGAUGGCGAAGGCAGGUCACUGGGCCGCAACUGACGCUGAGGAGCGAAAAGCAUGGGGAGCGAACAGGAUUAGAUACCCUGGUAGUCCACG
Molecule: ribosomal RNA, 433 nt
Filed under: uncultured bacterium
Lineage: Bacteria
Description: partial 16S ribosomal RNA
Rfam family: Bacterial small subunit ribosomal RNA
Source: RNAcentral